This 1419-nucleotide ribosomal RNA is filed under the name Thermococcus sp. 9N2.20. RNAcentral's name for it is "SSU rRNA". It matches the Rfam family "Archaeal small subunit ribosomal RNA". The record is from RNAcentral. Lineage: Archaea; Methanobacteriati; Methanobacteriota; Thermococci; Thermococcales; Thermococcaceae.
GGAGGCCACUGCUAUGGGGGUCCGACUAAGCCAUGCGAGUCAUGGGGCGCCUUGCGCGCACCGGCGGACGGCUCAGUAACACGUCGGUAACCUACCCUCGGGAGGGGGAUAACCCCGGGAAACUGGGGCUAAUCCCCCAUAGGCCUGAGGUACUGGAAGGUCCUCAGGCCGAAAGGGGCUUUGCCCGCCCGAGGAUGGGCCGGCGGCCGAUUAGGUAGUUGGUGGGGUAACGGCCCACCAAGCCGAAGAUCGGUACGGGCCAUGAGAGUGGGAGCCCGGAGAUGGACACUGAGACACGGGUCCAGGCCCUACGGGGCGCAGCAGGCGCGAAACCUCCGCAAUGCGGGCAACCGCGACGGGGGGACCCCCAGUGCCGUGGCAUCGCCACGGCUUUUCCGGAGUGUAAAAAGCUCCGGGAAUAAGGGCUGGGCAAGGCCGGUGGCAGCCGCCGCGGUAAUACCGGCGGCCCGAGUGGUGGCCGCUAUUAUUGGGCCUAAAGCGUCCGUAGCCGGGCCUGUAAGUCCCUGGCGAAAUCCCACGGCUCAACCGUGGGGCUUGCUGGGGAUACUGCAGGCCUUGGGACCGGGAGAGGCCGGGGGUACCCCUGGGGUAGGGGUGAAAUCCUAUAAUCCCAGGGGGACCGCCAGUGGCGAAGGCGCCCGGCUGGAACGGGUCCGACGGUGAGGGACGAAGGCCAGGGGAGCGAACCGGAUUAGAUACCCGGGUAGUCCUGGCUGUAAAGGAUGCGGGCUAGGUGUCGGACGAGCUUCGAGCUCGUCCGGUGCCGAAGGGAAGCCGUUAAGCCCGCCGCCUGGGGAGUACGGCCGCAAGGCUGAAACUUAAAGGAAUUGGCGGGGGAGCACUACAAGGGGUGGAGCGUGCGGUUUAAUUGGAUUCAACGCCGGGAACCUCACCGGGGGCGACGGCAGGAUGAAGGCCAGGCUGAAGGUCUUGCCGGACACGCCGAGAGGAGGUGCAUGGCCGCCGUCAGCUCGUACCGUGAGGCGUCCACUUAAGUGUGGUAACGAGCGAGACCCGCGCCCCCAGUUGCCAGUCCUCCCCGUUGGGGAGGAGGCACUCUGGGGGGACCGCCGGCGAUAAGCCGGAGGAAGGAGCGGGCGACGGUAGGUCAGUAUGCCCCGAAACCCCCGGGCUACACGCGCGCUACAAUGGGCGGGACAAUGGGAUCCGACCCCGAAAGGGGAAGGGAAUCCCCUAAACCCGCCCCCAGUUCGGAUCGCGGGCUGCAACUCGCCCGCGUGAAGCUGGAAUCCCUAGUACCCGCGUGUCAUCAUCGCGCGGCGAAUACGUCCCUGCUCCUUGCACACACCGCCCGUCACUCCACCCGAGCGGGGUCUGGAUGAGGCCUGAUCUCCCUUCGGGGAGGUCGGGUCGAGUCUGGGCUCCGUGAGGGGGGAG